Molecule: ribosomal RNA, 346 nt
Filed under: uncultured bacterium
Lineage: Bacteria
Description: partial 16S ribosomal RNA
Rfam family: Bacterial small subunit ribosomal RNA
Source: RNAcentral
CCUACGGGAGGCAGCAGUAGGGAAUCUUUCACAAUGGGCGAAAGCCUGAUGCAGCAACGCCGCGUGCAGGAUGAAGGCCUUCGGGUUGUAAACUGCUUUUAUAAGCGAGAAAUAUGAUGGUAACUUAUGAAUAAUGAUCGUCUAACUACGUUCCAGAAGCCGCGGUCAUACGUAGGAUCCGGGCAUUAUCCGGAGUGACUGGGUGUAAAGAGUUGCGUAGGUGGCAUAAUAAGUAGCUAGUGAAAUCUGGUGGCUCAAACAUUCAGACUAUUGGCUAAACUGUUAAGCUCGAGACCGUUAGGGGUAACUGGAAUGUGUGGUGUAGGAGUGAAAUCCGUAGAUAUUA